This 485-nucleotide ribosomal RNA is filed under the name uncultured bacterium. RNAcentral's name for it is "partial 16S ribosomal RNA". It matches the Rfam family "Bacterial small subunit ribosomal RNA", at positions 28 to 507 of the family's 1533-position model. The record is from RNAcentral.
GAUGAACGCUAGCGAUAGGCUUAACACAUGCAAGUCGAGGGGCAGCGAGGGUAGCAAUACCUGUCGGCGACCGGCGCACGGGUGAGUAACGCGUAUGUAACCUGCCCGCAACAGGGGGAUAACCCGGCGAAAGUCGGACUAAUACCGCAUAAAACAGGGGUCCCGCAUGGGAAUAUUUGUUAAAGAUUUAUCGGUUGCGGAUGGGCACGCGUACCAUUAGGUAGUUGGUGAGGUAACGGCUCACCAAGGCUUCGAAGUUUAGGGGUUCUGCGGGUAGGGCACCCCACAACGGUACCGCGGCACGGACCACAAUGCGACGGGAGGGAAGGGUGAGGAAUAUGGGGGAAUGAGCGAGAGCCUGACCCAGCCAAGUCGCGUGAAGGAUGACUGCCCUAUGGGUUGUAAACUUCUUUUACAAGGGAAUAAAAUGAGAUACGUGUAUUUUAUUGAAUGUACCUUGGGAAUAAGCAUCGGCUAACUCCGUG